Molecule: RNA transcript, 2257 nt
Organism: Lethenteron reissneri (Far Eastern brook lamprey)
Lineage: Eukaryota; Metazoa; Chordata; Hyperoartia; Petromyzontiformes; Petromyzontidae
Gene name: beta-soluble NSF attachment protein-like
Source: RefSeq, a predicted model, not a curated record
GGCGUCAUAAUUUUGAUUUAAAGUUUUUUCGUGACUGGAUCUUUCGGUAAAGUCACGUAGAAGGGAAAUAAUAAAAGAAUGAAAAUAAAAAAUAAUAUUCUCACGACGUUUCGAUUGCAAAACCACAUAAAUUGUGUUUUUCACACCUGAUGAUGAUUGCUUGCGUUGCAAUAGAAACGUCGUGACAGUUUUAUAAUGUUUUAUUUUUAUUAUUUCCCUUCUACGUGACUUUGGCGUCAUAAUUGUAAAGUCUUCGGUUAUUGCGUCACGCAGCGGGAAUGACGUCAUGUACCGUAGAAGCAAUGUCUGCGGGGAAAGGGGGUGUGGGCGAAGGAAUACGGCAAUGACGUCAUUCCACAGGCGGUUCAAUUAACAGUGGUAAUUGUCAAUUGCGACGAAUGACGUCAUGUAUCGCCGGGCGACGAGAUGACGUCAUCCCGCAGCAUUGUUUUUUAGCGCAGUGACGUCAUCGCGGGGCGGAGCUGCGCGGUCCAUACGGAGCGGAGCGACAUCGGCAGCAGCAUCAGCAGCAUCGUCUGCGCGAGCGGACAGCAGCAGCAGCAGCAUCAGUGAAGUAACAACAACAACAUCAUCAUCAUCAGCGCCAUUCACCGCGUCUCUCCCAUCAAUCAUCAUCAUCGUCAUUCCGCCUACCUCGUCCACCUCGUCCACCUCCUCACCUCCACCUCUCCUCCUCCUCUUCCUCGCCUCCGUGAUGGAUGCCGCCUCUAAGCAGCAGGACGGAGCUCAGCUCAUGGCGGAGGCCGACAAGAAAGUGAAGGGGGCGCAGAGCUUCCUCGGAGGCCUUUUUGGGGGACCGGCAAGACUCGCAGAAGCGUGCGAGAUUUACACGCGUGCCGCCAACUCGUUCAAGAUGGCUAAAAACUGGAGCGGGGCUGGCGAUGCGUUCUGCCACGCCGCACGCCUGCACCUACAGAUGCAGAACAAACACGACGCGGCUGUGAGCUACGUGGAUGCGGGCAAUGCCUACAAGAAGGCCGAUCCACAUGAGGCAAUCAACUGCCUCACCCGGGCCAUUGAGAUCUUCACCGACAUGGGUCGAUUCACAAUCGCCGCCAAGCACCACAUGACCAUUGCAGAAAUUCACGAGAGCGAGUUGGUGGACGUUGAGAAGUCGAUGGCCCAUUACGAGCAAGCGGCGGACUUCUACAGAGGGGAGGAGGCAAACAGUACGGCCAACAAGUGUCUGCUAAAGGUAGCGGCAUACGCGGCGCAGCUGGAGCAGUACCUGAAGGCCAUCGAGAUCUACGAACAGGUGGGCACCAGCACCAUGGACAGCUCUCUGCUGAAGAUCAACGCCCGCGAGAGCUUCUUCAAGGCGGCCGUGUGCCACUUCUGCGUGGACGCUCUGAACGCGCAGAUCGCCGUGGAGAAAUACGAGCAGAUGUUUCCUGCCUUCGCCGACUCGCGUGAAUGCAAAUUCGUCAAGAAACUACUCGAGGCUCACGAGGAGAACAACUUGGAAGCAUUCACCGAGACGGUGAAGGAGUUUGACUCCGGGGCGAGGAUGGACCAGUGGAUGACGACCAUGCUCCUGCGCAUCAAGAAAACCAUCCCGGACGACUCCGAGGGCGACAUGCGCUGAUCGAGCGAGCGAGCGCGCGCGUGGUACGCACGCACGUGUGCGUACGUGCGCGCGUGUGCGUACGUACGCAACGGCAGCACGGGUCUCCCCCCCCUCUUCCCCUCCUCGUGCAUCGUUAGUUAAAAGCCGUUCCCACCUCCAAAGAACCUUCGGCAUCCUUGUGGCAGUCGGGGCCAGCAGGCCCCGUGAACCGUGCCGACGAUCCCCCAGCGAGCAGCAGUCGCCGCGUCCCCGUGGCAGGCGAGUCGACGGAUCGCUGCCGUCCGUCCGUCCUCGCAAUCCCGUGAUGUGACAAUGCACCCAGAUCCUGCACAACAACAACAACCGCCAUUCGCCGUUAAGUGGCGGUGACGUCACCACAGCGCUUGUGCCAGGCCACGUGCACGUUGAGGCCACGUGAAGUGUCGAACGCCCGCCGGCAGGAGGUCACGGGACAGACCCAUCCGGUGCCAUGGGUUGCCUGACUGAGAUGACUGGCCGAUGCACCACCUGUGCCUCCCAUCCUGAACAAACGCACAUACACACACGAGCUGGUCACAUCAUCGCUCUCCACCUGGUGAAGUGGACGCCUUCUUGCACAGCAUCCCAUCAUCUUGCACAAACCCUCCUACUUUCCUCAGCAGUUUCAAUUAUAAAAUGGGACCUUUUUGC